CUUGAAAGAGACUGAGCGAGGGCCUUCUUUUCUCCAGUUUGUGCAUGAUUGCCUAUCUCAGCUUUCAAAAGAGUUUGAGGAUUACUUCCCAACCAUAAAAGACCCCCAAACUCAGAAGGAAGGGAUUCACCACCCAUUUGUGAAUAAGCCAGGUGAAUUGACUUUGUCUGUGCUAGAAGAGGAUUCACUGCUUGAGAUCACAAAUGAUGAUGGCCUUCAAAGUAUGUUUGGAGACAACUCCGGAUCACCAUUUAUUCUGGUUAAAAGUCAAGGGAGAAUAUCCUGAGAUGGCCACAAAAACCCUAAAUAGCCUGCUCCCAUUUCCAUCGUCCUGUCUUUGUUAGAUAGAAUUUUCUGCAGUGACAGCAAACAGAGUGAGAUUAUGGAGUAGACUGGACAUAAGCAACACACUUUGGGUGUCACUGCCUCUCAUCACUCCCAGAUGGGACUAUCUAACUGGAGGAAACCAAGCUCAGGGCUCUCACUGAUUCUGCACUAUGAUCCCUCAUCAGUUUUCCUAAAAUGAAUGAAGAAAAUAAAGCAUCCUAAGUUCUGUGAGAAUCAUUUUUCUAGAACUGCCUUCCCUGUUCUGUGGAAUACCUUUCAACUUACGCUACUGGAAGAUGGCUCUUCUUUCCAAAAAGUCUUCUAACUCUUGUCACACACACAUGUACAAAAAAUAUUCUGUGGAGAUUUCACUUACCGGCAGAGCCUGAAUCUCAUCUUCAGUAGACUGAAAAUGCUGAAUUCUUUGUCUCCCUUCAGAAUCUUCAAAUGGUUUAGAAUUUUACCCUAUCAAACUAAACAUGAAUAAUCUUAAAGUUAUGGUGAAAAUGAUGCCAAUAAAAAGAGGAUGAUACAAAGUGGGUUCACAGAACAGAUUGUUUGAC
RNAcentral lists this long non-coding RNA (890 nucleotides) under Heterocephalus glaber (naked mole-rat). RNAcentral's name for it is "lncRNA (ENSHGLG00100039600.1)". Lineage: Eukaryota; Metazoa; Chordata; Mammalia; Rodentia; Bathyergidae. The record is from RNAcentral.